Peromyscus leucopus (white-footed mouse) is the source of this 293-nucleotide long non-coding RNA. RefSeq lists it as uncharacterized. Lineage: Eukaryota; Metazoa; Chordata; Mammalia; Rodentia; Cricetidae. The record is from RefSeq and is a predicted model, not a curated record. The transcript is spliced from 3 exons.
GGAGGUGGCCUGACUUCAGACACACAGUCAGCAGCACUGGGAGGCAAAGUCCACUUGGGUGGAAGUGAGAGCAGAGAGAGAAAGAGAGAGAGGAGAGGGGCCAUUUUGAUUCCAUGGUCAAAAGAAAUAACUAGUCUGAAGCGGCCUGAGCAGCCAGGUACUGCUGUCUACCGGGACUGCCUGAGGUGCUGGAUGCCCUCGGCGACGGGAAGAGGGCAUCUAUGAGCUGCCAUGUGGGCGCUGGGAACUGAACCCCGGGUCCUCUGGAAGAGCAGGUCUAAGGAAACUCUCGG